This 405-nucleotide ribosomal RNA is filed under the name uncultured bacterium. RNAcentral describes it as "bacterial SSU rRNA". It matches the Rfam family "Bacterial small subunit ribosomal RNA", at positions 355 to 776 of the family's 1533-position model. The record is from RNAcentral.
UGAGGGAUCUUGCACAAUGGGGGCAACCCUGAUGCAGCGACGCCGCGUGGGCGAUGAAGGUCUUCGGAUCGUAAAGCCCUUUUCCAGGUGACGAGUAAGGACGGUAGCCUGGGAAGAAGUCUCGGCUAACUACGUGCCAGCAGCCGCGGUAAAACGUAGGAGGCGAGCGUUAUCCGGAGUUACUGGGCGUAAAGCGCAAGCAGGCGGUUGGGCAAGUUGGGUGUGAAAGCGUGCGGCUAAACUGCACGAGGCCAUUCAAGACUGCCCGGCUGGAGGACGGUAGAGGGGCGCAGAAUUCGGGGUGUAGCGGUGAAAUGUGUAGAGAUCCCGAGGAAUACCAGUGGGGAAGCCGGCGCCCUGGGCCGUACCUGACGCUGAGAUGCGAAAGCGUGGGGAGCGAACGGG